RNAcentral lists this non-coding RNA (91 nucleotides) under Elusimicrobiota bacterium. RNAcentral's name for it is "Elusimicrobia bacterium c-di-GMP sequence". It matches the Rfam family "c-di-GMP-I riboswitch aptamer". Rfam says of the family: GEMM was predicted in a large-scale screen for bacterial structured RNA regulatory elements. Lineage: Bacteria; Pseudomonadati; Elusimicrobiota. The record is from RNAcentral.
GAGCCUGUACCGCAACUUUGUUGUCGAAAUCCGGGGUCGCAAAGCCACGGGGCUGACGGAGGACGCUCUCCAAGCUCGCCGGGUUGCCGAA